RNAcentral lists this long non-coding RNA (278 nucleotides) under Ictidomys tridecemlineatus (thirteen-lined ground squirrel). Its description in RNAcentral is "lncRNA (ENSSTOG00000031984.1)". The record is from RNAcentral. Lineage: Eukaryota; Metazoa; Chordata; Mammalia; Rodentia; Sciuridae.
AAGUCUCGCACAGCCAGCGACACCCGGGUGACAACAGCUGGUUCGUGGUCUUUGCGAGACGAAGUGUUCGACUGGUCACCCUUCAUGAUGCAUUCUGAUGGCGACAACUUUUUUGACAGCCGGCUUCCACCGAAACUCUCGGGCAGCGCGUUGUCAGGUCAUUUUACUGAGCUCGGGAAAUUUCCAUUUGUCACUUAACAGCCAUAUGUCAGAAAUUUAAUGACAUCACCUUGGCCAAGAUUCAAGAAUUCAGAACUCCAAGUUACGCUGAACUGCGU